Molecule: ribosomal RNA, 422 nt
Filed under: uncultured bacterium
Lineage: Bacteria
Description: bacterial SSU rRNA
Rfam family: Bacterial small subunit ribosomal RNA
Source: RNAcentral
UCGGGAAUUUUGGGCAAUGGGCGAAAGCCUGACCCAGCAACGCCGCGUGAAGGAUGAAGCUUUUCGGAGUGUAAACUUCAUAAGAAUGGGACGAAUAAGGAGGGGUUAACACCCCCUUUGAUGACGGUACCAUUUGUAAGCUCCGGCUAACUCCGUGCCAGCAGCCGCGGUAAUACGGGGGGAGCAAGCGUUGUUCGGAUUUACUGGGCGUAGAGGGCGCGUAGGCGGCGCAACAAGUCACUUGUGAAAUCUCCGGGCUUAACCCGGAGCGGCCAAGCGAUACUGUCGUGCUAGAGUGCGGAAGGGGCUACUGGAAUUCUCGGUGUAGCGGUGAAAUGCGUAGAUAUCGAGAGGAACACCUGCGGCGAAGGCGGGUAGCUGGGCCGACACUGACGCUGAAGCGCGAAAGCCAGGGGAGCGAA